AUUGAACGCUGGCGGCAGGCCUAACACAUGCAAGUCGAGCGGAUGAAGGGAGCUUGCUCCUGGAUUCAGCGGCGGACGGGUGAGUAAUGCCUAGGAAUCUGCCUGGUAGUGGGGGAUAACGUCCGGAAACGGGCGCUAAUACCGCAUACGUCCUGAGGGAGAAAGUGGGGGAUCUUCGGACCUCACGCUAUCAGAUGAGCCUAGGUCGGAUUAGCUAGUUGGUGAGGUAAAGGCCUACCAAGGCGACGAUCCGUAACUGGUCUGAGAGGAUGAUCAGCCACACUGGAACUGAGACACGGUCCAGACUCCUACGGGAGGCAGCAGUGGGGAAUAUUGGACAAUGGGCGAAAGCCUGAUCCAGCCAUGCCGCGUGUGUGGAGAAGGUCUUCGGAUUGUAAAGCACUUUAAGUUGGGAGGAAGGGCAGUAAGUUAAUACCUUGCUGUUUUGACGUUACCAACAGAAUAAGCACCGGCUAACUUCGUG
RNAcentral lists this ribosomal RNA (484 nucleotides) under uncultured bacterium. Its description in RNAcentral is "partial 16S ribosomal RNA". It matches the Rfam family "Bacterial small subunit ribosomal RNA", at positions 30 to 507 of the family's 1533-position model. The record is from RNAcentral.